CUACGGGGGGCUGCAGUGAGGAAUAUUGCACAAUGGAGGAAACUCUGAUGCAGCAAUGCCGCGUGGAGGAUGACGCAUUUCGGUGUGUAAACUCCUUUUAUGAGUCAAGAAAAUGACGGUAGCUCAUGAAUAAGCACCGGCUAACUCCGUGCCAGCAGCCGCGGUAAUACGGAGGGUGCAAGCGUUACUCGGAAUCACUGGGCGUAAAGGACGCGUAGGCGGGAUAUCAAGUCAGGUGUGAAAUCCUACAGCUUAACUGUAGAACUGCACUUGAAACUGGUAACCUAGAGUAUGGGAGGGGGAGAUGGAAUUAGUGGUGUAGGGGUAAAAUCCGUAGAUAUCACUAGGAAUACCUAAAGCGAAGGCGAUCUCCUGGAACAUAACUGACGCUAAGGCGUGAAAGCGUGGGGAGCAAACAGGAUUAGAUACCCUUGUAGUC
RNAcentral lists this ribosomal RNA (439 nucleotides) under uncultured bacterium. RNAcentral's name for it is "partial 16S ribosomal RNA". It matches the Rfam family "Bacterial small subunit ribosomal RNA", at positions 339 to 795 of the family's 1533-position model. The record is from RNAcentral.